AACGAACGCUGGCGGCAUGCCUAACACAUGCAAGUCGAACGAGAUCUUCGGGUCUAGUGGCGCACGGGUGCGUAACGCGUGGGAAUCUGCCCUUUGGUUCGGAAUAACAGUUGGAAACGACUGCUAAUACCGGAUGAUGACGAAAGUCCAAAGAUUUAUCGCCAGAGGAUGAGCCCGCGUAGGAUUAGCUAGUUGGUGUGGUAAAGGCACACCAAGGCGACGAUCCUUAGCUGGUCUGAGAGGAUGAUCAGCCACACUGGGACUGAGACACGGCCCAGUCUCCUACGGGAGGCAGCAGUGGGGAAUAUUGGACAAUGGGCGAAAGCCUGAUCCAGCAACGCCGCGUGAGUGAUGAAGGCCUUAGGGUUGUAAAGCUCUUUUACCCGGGAUGAUAAUGACAGUACCGGGAGAAUAAGCUCCGGCUAACUCCGUGCCAGCCGCCGCCGUAA
RNAcentral lists this ribosomal RNA (449 nucleotides) under uncultured bacterium. Its description in RNAcentral is "partial 16S ribosomal RNA". It matches the Rfam family "Bacterial small subunit ribosomal RNA", at positions 29 to 523 of the family's 1533-position model. The record is from RNAcentral.